GGAAAGUUACUCAAGUGGUAAAGAGGGCAGUUUGCUAAACUGUUAGUGCAAUUAAAUUGCAGCAAGAGUUCGAAUCUCUUACUUUCCGCCA
This 91-nucleotide transfer RNA is filed under the name Clostridium neonatale. Its description in RNAcentral is "tRNA-Ser". It matches the Rfam family "tRNA". Rfam says of the family: Transfer RNA (tRNA) molecules are approximately 80 nucleotides in length. Lineage: Bacteria; Bacillati; Bacillota; Clostridia; Eubacteriales; Clostridiaceae. The record is from RNAcentral.